GUGCACCAGUCGAGAAUCUUCCGCAAUGGGCGAAAGCCUGACGGAACGACGCCGCGUGACCGAAGACGCCCUUCGGGGUGUAAAGGUCUUUUCUAGGGGACCAAUAUCCCGAUUUAUCGGGGUGAGUGUACCCUAGGAAUAAGGGGCCGCCAAACUCGUGCCAGCAGCGGCGGUAAGACGAGUGCCCCAAGCGUUAUCCGGAAUUACUGGGCGUAGAGCGUCUGUAGGGGGUUUGAUAAGUCUCCUGUCAAAUUCCGAUGCUCAACAUCGGAACCGCAGGAGAAACUAUCAAACUAGAGGGUGCGAGAGGCUGAUGGAACUCAGGGAGUAGGGGUGAAAUCCGUUGAUA
This 349-nucleotide ribosomal RNA is filed under the name uncultured microorganism. RNAcentral's name for it is "bacterial SSU rRNA". It matches the Rfam family "Bacterial small subunit ribosomal RNA", at positions 346 to 696 of the family's 1533-position model. The record is from RNAcentral.